AAGUCGUAACAAGGUUUCCGUAGGUGAACCUGCGGAAGGAUCAUUGUCGAAACCUCUGCCAAGCAGAACGACCCGUGAACGGUACUUAAACAUGGGUGUGGUUGUGUUGUUACGGCUCCCUGGGGCCCUGCUCGCUUCCUCCCCAUGCCGGGGGAGCAAUUGCGCCCCCUUGGCAACCAACUUGCCCCGGCGCGGAAAGCGCCAAGGAACAUAAACUCAAAAGUGCCCGCUUGCCUUGUGCCCGGUUAUCCGGUGCGCGGGUGCGGUGCGACAAUUAAACAAAUGAUGACUCUCGGCAACGGAUAUCUCGGCUCUCGCAUCGAUGAAGAACGUAGCGAAAUGCGAUACUUGGUGUGAAUUGCAGAAUCCCGUGAACCAUCGAGUCUUUGAACGCAAGUUGCGCCCGAAGCUUUUGGCUGAGGGCACGUCUGCCUGGGCGUCACGCAUCGCGUCUCCCCCGCACACCUUUCGGUCGCGGGGAAGGAAGUUGGUCUCCCGAGCCUCGCCGGGCUCGGCUGGCCUAAAUAUGGAGUCCUCGGCGCUGAGCUGCUGCGGCGAUUGGUGGUGAACGCGGCCCCGGCCCUCAAUAUCAUCCGUCGCGUAGUUCCUCGUCGGAGCGAUCUCGCAGGACCCUCGGGUGUUGCCUACCCAAAAUGUUGCGACCCCAGGUCAGGCGGGGCUACCCGCUGAGUUUAA
Molecule: ribosomal RNA, 696 nt
Filed under: Drymaria cordata
Lineage: Eukaryota; Viridiplantae; Streptophyta; Magnoliopsida; Caryophyllales; Caryophyllaceae
Description: eukaryotic LSU rRNA
Rfam family: 5.8S ribosomal RNA (bases 288-442)
Source: RNAcentral